Molecule: long non-coding RNA, 553 nt
Filed under: Mytilus galloprovincialis (Mediterranean mussel)
Lineage: Eukaryota; Metazoa; Mollusca; Bivalvia; Mytilida; Mytilidae
Source: RNAcentral
UCUGGGCGUCACUGGUGAGUCUUGUGUGGACGAGGCGCGUUUUUGGCGUAUUAAAUUUUAAACCUGAUGCUUUUUGUUAUUCAUUAAUCAUGUGUUUCUUUGUCUAAUACGUUUUCCUAUUUAUUUGUAUUGUAGUCCUGUAAUAUUAUGUUGUCAUUUCUAUGUUAUAUUUAACAUUGCCAUAAAAGUGCGAGGUUUGGCAUGCCACAAAACUAGGUUCAACCCACCAUUUUUUCCUUUAAAAAUGUCCUGUACCAAGUCAGGAAUAUGGCCAUUGUCAUAUUAUAGUUCGUUUCUGUGUGUGUUACAAUUUAACGUUGCGUCGUUUGUUUUCUUUUAUUUUUGAGUGUAAAUUGACAUUGUGAUAAGACGUGUCACGGUACUUGUCUAUCCCAAAUUCAUGUAUUUGGUUUUGAUGUUAUAUUUGUUAUUCUCGUGGGAUUUUGUCUGAUGCUUGGUCCGUUUCUGUGUGUGUUAGUUACAUUGUAGUGUUGUGUCGUUGUUCUCCUCUUAUAUUUAUGCGUUUCCCUCAGUUUUAGUUUGUUACCCCGAU